RNAcentral lists this long non-coding RNA (568 nucleotides) under Nicotiana benthamiana. Its description in RNAcentral is "long non-coding RNA (NBEN_LNC041297)". The record is from RNAcentral. Lineage: Eukaryota; Viridiplantae; Streptophyta; Magnoliopsida; Solanales; Solanaceae.
ACUUAGGCAGCGGUUAAACCUUUUAUUAAAUCCAGUGCAGGUGAGGUGAAGCUCCUUAGCUACUCACGGUUCUUUUAGCAUCCAUCUUGUGAAUAGUUCUUGCUCUCUCUAUUUAUCUAUCAGUAGUGCUACUCACGGUUCUUUUAGCAUCCAUCUUAUGGAUAAUUCUUGCUCUCUCUAUUUAUCAAUCGGUAGUAAUGUGUUAAUCAGUGCAACAAUUACAUUUUGAGGAAUGUUACCACCAUAGGUGGUUAGUUAAUUCACCUGUCCUUUAACUGGCUUAGAGGGCUUGCGCUUGUAGCUGCUAAAAAGAUUCUAUGAGCCUUAUUUUAUCUGCCAACAUGCUUUUGAAAGUGUUGUAACAUAUUCCUUGGAUAAUUGUAAAUGUACCGCCUAAUAAUGUUUCAUUAUCAACGAUUGGCUUGUUUUUUAUUUUUUGAAAAGGUAACAUAUUUGUAUUAAGUAUAAAAUUGGUUAUACUAAAUCAGUGUAACCAUCCAGUAAUUACAAUGAAAGUACCAGAGGAGAGGAGAUAACUACAUCAGUAAGACUCACAAUUGGUCUAAAA